CCUUUUCUAGAUACUGGUUUCUCACUGGACAGUAGCAGUUUCUGGAGCAGAACAGGGCACUUGGCUGGUGCCUGAAAUGAAUCUUCUUCCAGUCAAAAUCUGGGAGGAAGCCAUAAAGCAAGGCUAGCCCACUUUGUAGUGUCCGGCUUUUCCCCGUGGUCUCCAAGUAAAGCUGGUCUGUCGACCAGUCAUUCGGCAGGAGUUUGUGUUUUUUUAGGUAGGUGUCCCUCAGUAGCUGGCCAUUCUGCAAAUGCUGCAUGACUCGUGUCUGCAUGAGCUCUUCCAUCUCACACAGUGGGUGAUUGAGUUAAAGAGGCAGGGAGUGUAGAGGGCUUUCGAAAGAGGCUCCGGAUCCUUUUGACAUGUGACUAACAAAAGCUUCCAGUUUAGGGUGAUAAUGGUUUCCUGUUGGCCACCAGAGUGCAGUCAAUUUUUGGUCGCUUUGUUUUGGGAAUGACAUACAGCGGGUAUUGUCCCCGUGUCGAAUGAACACAUGCACUGAGAUCAGCUUAAAAUGAUGCGGAGCGUGACCUUCCAUGCUGCGCUCAGCCACACUGGGAAUGUCGCAGUACAAAAGAGCUUCGUAAACGGGGUCCAUCACGGGGGGCUUGGUCACUGGGUCAGGCAUGAUUCUCUUUCAACUCUUGCUACUCACUCCAUUCUUAGCUGUGGACACUGGGGUCAGGUGGAAGAAUUGCAGGCUGAGGCUGAUGAAGGCCAGCAGCGUAGCCAGGGCCAGCAGCAGCAAGAAGCGAUUGCAGAAAAGCAUUAUUAUUUGUUCUAUUUUCUCUUCAUGGUUUCACCUCCAAUCGGAAACCAAUCCUUGUAAGUGUGGGAAAUGCCACGUUUGGUGACUCUGGUCUCAGGGUCCCCUUUAAAGUGUACAGAAUUUAGGGUUUUAAACAUGACCACAACGGCCUGGAGGCUGCGGGGUCGGGGAUCCCGGGAGCUGGAGCUCCCCCUCUACUCCUUUAAUAGUAGAAUGAUUGAUUUUAUUUUGCCACAUGGUCACCUAGAAUAAAGACUUCAUUUCCUGGAUUCUUUUGAUCUGGAUGUGGCCAUGACAUAAAGUUCUGACCAAAUGGAUCAGACUGGAGAACAAGGAACUGGCAGGAACAAGGGACAAUCUUCAGCUAACUGCCAGCAAAGAACCAAAUCCUGCCAAGUAACAUACAUGUAAUCUUGGAAGUGGAUUUGUCCCCAGACAAGUCUUCACAUAGAACACAAGCUUAACCAACACCUUGAGCGUAGACUUAUAACCAAGCCAUGCCCAGAUUUCUGAACUACAGAACUGUGAGUUGUUUUAUAGCUGCUAAACACUGGACUAAGUUAUUAUAGGUAAUUGAUACAGUGAUAAAUGUAAGAGUGGAAUGUGGAAAAGAGUGGAAUUCCAGAAAGUGUUCUUAAAUACAGAGAGUGUGCCCUUCUUCUGCUCCUUCUUCUUGAUAACUAGAAUAAGGAUAUAUUGGCUGAAACCCUAGCAGCUAUUUUGAACCAUAAAGUGAUAAUAGAGCAAAGCAACAAGUAAAAGGGAAUGUGGAUUCCUGAGAGUAUCAUGUAUAAUGCUACUCUGGAUCACUUGCACUUUCUUAUACAACAGACAGAUCAAUGUCAGCUUUUUGUUUACUUUAUUUAUUUUUUGUUCAUUUUUGUUUAUUUUGAUUUUUCUGUCACAUAAAGACAAAGCUAGUCCUAACGAAUGAUUGUGUCUGACACUACUCUUAAUAUCUGAUAAAUAUUUAAGAAAUACUAGAGUUUUUUUCUGUGCAUCAGAAAAAAUAAAAUUCUUAGGACAAAAUUUAACCAAGAAGAUGAAAGACCUGUACACUGAAAACUAUAAGGCAUUAAUGAAAGAAACUGAAGAUGCAAAUACAUGGAAAGAUAUCUCAUGCUCAUGGAUUAGAAGAUUUAAUAUUAUUAAAACGUCCAUACUACCCAAAGCAAUCUACAGAUUCUGUACAAUCCUUACAAUCAUAAGAUUUGUAUAGAACCACCAAAAACUCCGUAUAACUAAAGCAAUCUUGAGAGAGAACAAAGCUGGAAGUAUCACACUACCAAAUCACACUACUGCCAUACUAUCAAAUUUCAAACCACACUACAAAGCUUUAGCUAUUGUCAUAAAAACAGACACGAUGGAUAAAUUAAAAAGAAUAGGGAGCCCAGAAAUAAACCCAUGCAUAUACAAUUAAUUUAUGACAAAGGAGUAACAAACAUACAAUGAGAAAAAGACAGUCUUUUCAAUAAAUGGUGUUGGGAAAACUGAACAACCAUAUACAAAAGAACAGGACUACUAUCUUACAAAAAAAUUAACUCAAAAUGGUUUGAAGACUUGAAUAUAAGACCUUACACCAUAAAAAACCUAGAAGAAAACAUAUCUUGGGAAUAAUUUUUUGGAUCUAACACCAAAAGCAAAGGGAAAAAAAGGAAAACUAUAAUGGAACUACAUCAAACUAAAAAGUUUCUUCACAGUGAAACAAGCCAGCAACAAAAUAAAAAAGUAACCUGCUAAAUGGGAGAAAAUAUUUGCAAAUUAUAUAUCUGAUAAUGUAUGAUACCCAAAAAAAUAUGAAGAACUUAUUCAACUCAAUAGUAAAAACAAAACACACACAUCUCAAUUCAAAAAUGGGCAGAAUAGAAUGUGAAGGUGGUCUGACUGCAACAUCUGUCCUCACUUUGACUUCCAGGGUUGAUUUGGCUGAUCUAGCUGGCUAGGCAGAUGUCCCCUUCCUUACUCACCACUCCACGUGUGUCUCUCCCAAAGCUGCACACUUGGACAAAGAGGAUGACUUUCCUUGAUUAAAGGAGGAUCAUUAUUCCGUCAAGGGUAUACGAGGAGCUGCAUUUUCUGUUAGAACCUCCAAAUGAGUUCUUAAAAUUGGGCAGAAUAUUUGAAUAGCCAUCUUUCCAAAAAAGACUCUCAGAGGAACAACAAGUAUAUGAAAAGAUGAUAAUUACUAAUUAUAAGGGGAAUGCAAAUCACAACAGUGAGAUAUCACCUCACACCCGUUAGAAUGGCUAUUGUCAGAAGGACAAGAACUAGCAAGUGUUGGCAAGGGUGUGGGGAAAAAGAAUGCUUGAGCAUUGAUGGUGGAAAUAUAAAUUGGUGCAGCCACUAUGGAAAACAGUAUGGAUGUUCUUCCAAAUAUUAAGAAGAGAACUACUAUAUUAUCCAGCAAUUCCAAUUCUGGGUAUUUGAAAAUGAAAACACUAACUCAAGAAGAUAUAGUGCACCCCUAUGUUUAUUGCAGUAUUAUUUAUAGUAGCUAAGAUAUGGAAAUAAUAUAAAUGUCCAUUGAUAGAUAAAUAGAUAAGGAAAAUAUGGGAUAACAAAAGAUAAGAUACCUAGGAAUAAACUUAAUCAAAUAGGUGAAGACCUCUACUCUGAAAGCUAUGAAACACUAAAGAAACUGAAGGCAACACAAAAAAUGUAAAGACAUUCCAUGCUCAU
Molecule: long non-coding RNA, 3448 nt
Filed under: Canis lupus familiaris (dog)
Lineage: Eukaryota; Metazoa; Chordata; Mammalia; Carnivora; Canidae
Description: lncRNA (ENSCAFG00030002571.1)
Rfam family: 7SK RNA (bases 2635-2923)
Source: RNAcentral